Molecule: long non-coding RNA, 658 nt
Filed under: Fukomys damarensis (Damara mole-rat)
Lineage: Eukaryota; Metazoa; Chordata; Mammalia; Rodentia; Bathyergidae
Description: lncRNA (ENSFDAG00000024561.1)
Source: RNAcentral
GAAUUUCAAAAUUUAGUUUUAAUUUUUAUACAUUGUUAUUUUUGCUUUUUGGUCUUUAGAGAUGGAUUGACUUUAAGGAUUUUGAUUUUGUGAUAUUUCAACGUUUGAGAUUGUGGUGUUCAAAACUGUGUUUUGACAGUUUGAUUAACACUGGUCAAUUUUAGGGGACUCUAUGCCAAAUAUCUAAUGAGACAUGCUCAAUUGUGCUCUCCAGGAUCAAGGUGGUCUUCUGUGAUUCUCCAGUUCAGUAAGAAGCCAUAUGGUCAGUAAAAUGGUUGUUAUGACCACCUGUGCCUCUGCAGUGUGGAUCCAGAUACCAGCACAACCAGGAAGCCUGAGACCACUGUGGCGGGGAGCAGGAUGCUGCAGAGGCAACCCCGUGGCUGGGUGGCCCUCUCCAGUCUCAUACAGUGAAGGCCCAGGGCACUGGACAAUCUCACAACUCCCCCAUCUGUACUUCAACACUAUGUGUAUACAUCACUAAAUAUGGUUGGUGUCUCCUUUUACUAGAGCGGAAGGAUGUGUUCUGAGCACAGUAAGAGAAAUGGCCUUCAGAAAUGCUCUUCCUCUGGACUUAUUGCUGCUUCUAAUUGCUAUAUCAUUCCUCCUUCACCCAGUUAGAGGUUUGUUAUCUAAGAUGAUUUUAUACUGAGCAAGA